GAGAAACUUCUUAAAUUACUCUCUGUGGAUACUAUCAUGGUCGGUCACUCUCUUAAAAUGGACCUACAAGCACUCAAGUUGGAUCACACCAGAGUAUUAGACACUUCACUUGUCUUCAAAUAUGAUUACUCUGGCGAGCCUCCGAAGGAGGAUAAUGGAUACUUUGAGACAUGCGUUGAGUUUGAAUUAAUUCAGCCUCGAAGGCCUUCUCUUGACUUUCUAUGCAAGUCGAUACUGGGAUAUGUAGAGCCCCCA
Raphanus sativus (radish) is the source of this 255-nucleotide long non-coding RNA. RefSeq lists it as uncharacterized. NCBI's taxonomy places the organism in Eukaryota, Viridiplantae, Streptophyta, Magnoliopsida, Brassicales, Brassicaceae. The transcript has 3 exons. The record is from RefSeq and is a predicted model, not a curated record.